AAAAAAAAAAGGGAAGAAAUAAGAGUGAAUUGCUGGAAAGUCCUUUGUAUCAACUGUGUUGGAAAUAAUCAACAUGGAUUAUGCAACUAAGCUAUUGGUCUCUUAUUUAUUUGUGCUGCAACAGUUGUUCCUGGCCUUGUGAGAUUAUUAUUUUUGCCUGUUUAUGAUAGACUACCUCUUGCUGUGGUUCAUGUGUAAUUACUCAGUAUGUUCCACUCUUAUUUGAUAUAAGUCUGUAUUCUGUCAUGAUUGAGUCAGUGUUCACCACGAGAUGAUUGCAGGUUUUUGGAGGUUCUAAAUAAGAGGCUGAACUCUGUUAGAG
RNAcentral lists this unclassified non-coding RNA (322 nucleotides) under Hevea brasiliensis (rubber tree). Lineage: Eukaryota; Viridiplantae; Streptophyta; Magnoliopsida; Malpighiales; Euphorbiaceae. The record is from RNAcentral.